Culex quinquefasciatus (southern house mosquito) is the source of this 2094-nucleotide RNA transcript. RefSeq lists it as uncharacterized. The record is from RefSeq and is a predicted model, not a curated record. The transcript is spliced from 6 exons. NCBI's taxonomy places the organism in Eukaryota, Metazoa, Arthropoda, Insecta, Diptera, Culicidae.
UACCUUGUGACGUUCUCUGGGUGAACCCCCCCUUUUUUGUUCAGUUUCGCGCUCACCUUUGCCUGAACCUACCCGGCCCGGUCAGUACCGAGAGAGUCGCGAGUGCAACCACAGCUGUCGGAUCGUUCCAAGAGACGCGUCGUCGCUAUGAACAGUCCCAUCAACAGCGAGCAGCGUCCAUUUUCGGCGCAAUUCCCAAAGAAGCCCCAAAUUGGGGACGAAGUGAUUGUCAAGGCGCGGCUCAAGCCCAACGCCAAGGUAUUCUCAAUCAACUUCAUUCUGCCGACGCCUCCGCCCGUCCACAAGUCCCUGUCGGCACCAGCGUCCGUUGCGGAGUCCACCGUGGCAGCACAAGGUCAGGGUUGUUGUGGCAGGCUGGUGGGACCAGCGGCCAAGAGUUCCUCGCCCUACAUUGCGUACCACUUCAAGACCAUCUUCGGCGAAGACGACGAGGACGAAAGUGUGGUUGUUCAAAACUGGAAGAACGUGGUCUGGCAGCGUGAGGUUCGGGAACCGAACCGUUGGCUCCGAGACCGGACGCGGCCGUUUACGUUGAUCUUCCGGUUUCACCACGACACCAUCCGGGUGUUUGUAGAUCACACCCACCAGGCGCCCGAGUACGAGUUCGAGUAUCAGGUUCCGCUGGAGCGAAUCCGGCUCGUCGAGCUGUGGGACGACGUCGAAUUCGUCGAAGAAGUGACGUUCCGUUUCAAGAAUAUGAUUCGUAACGGCACUUAGAACAACCAAACGGUUGGAAAGCUUUGGCGCGCGCGCUUCGUGAGCCAUCGGAAUUCCAGCUGUCUGUACCCUAUCUAUUAACAACUUAAAACGCUCUGCAAACAUAUUUGCAUUUCUCUCAGCUUCAUCGGCACUCGUUGGAUCUGUCGCGUACUUUAAACGAGCGGACUUCCCCCACAUCACCAAUCUCUUUCAUUCAUCUUUUUCGACCUGCACACAUGCAGUCACACGUACAAACACGCAUAAUGAUGUCGCGACUCACGUGCUGGACGCCGCCGCCACCGCAGUAUUAAGAGGUAUUAAGUAUAUAUGCAGAGAUUCAUCAAGCACCACCUUGUUGUAUACGCUUUUAUGGAAGGAAUCGAAUGGAUUACAGCACCACAUUCAGGUGAUUCAAGUGGUUCAGAAGAGUCAUCGUCCUGAAGUGUGGGGAAUGGAUCAAUAAAGUGAAUAAUUCAGUGAGAAUUUGCAACUAUGUUGGGGGAAGUGAAUCCCUGAUGUCUAUGUUUGAAUAAGGAAGAGUAAACUUACACUCGAGUAUUACCACUCAACGCCCGAUGAACCACAAACAUUCUCUCUCUCACACUUAAUCUCUUCCUGCGAAACUAAUAAAAUGAAUGGUACUAUGAAUUGGUGCGGAGAUUCUUGAAGCUCCAGUACCGCGACCUACUACACACAGUUAGCGCCAUUCUCGCCAGAAGAGUUCCGACCGUCGAGCAGACAAAAUGCCGAAUUUUAUGGAAAGUUGUUCGUUCAAAAUGCACCCGAUUGGGCGGACCCUCGGCGAUGGAGACGAACUGGAGCUGAAGGGAAAUUUACAGCACAUGGACACUUGCUUUUCAGUUAACUUUCGCUUUGGAUCGGGAAUCGCCUACCAUUUUGGGGUGCGUCUUCACGAGGAGGGUCGUCACGAGGUUUUCCAGGGCUACAAAGACGACGCCCUGCCGGAUUGGGAGGAACACGAACCCGAGGAGUGGUCCUGCGAAGAUGCCACAUUGGACAUUACCUUUCGUCUGAGUGGGGAUGAGAUUUGGAUUUUGGUGGAUGGCGAAAAACAGUUUGAAACGUUUGAAAGCAGGGUGCCACUGGAGCAGAUCAUCAGUAUUGAGCUGAUGGACGAUAUCAACUGGGUGAAAGAGAUAAAGCUGAAGUUUAACACCAACGAGGUUGAAUAAGUGCACAAGUGAGUUGACAAUUUGUGACCUGAGAAAUUCAGUAUUGCAGUGCCUAACCAUUCUCGUUUAAUUUAUGAAAAGGUCCUUUCCAAAAGGUUUUUUUUAAGCAGGUAAUCUUGAUUUAUUCAAACUGCCUUAUUUUCAAAAUUUUGAGAGUAAAUAAAAAAACCCAGCUGCUAAA